CAGCUAGUUGGCGGGGUAACGGCCCACCAAGGCUAUGACGGGUAGCUGGUCUGAGAGGACGACCAGUCACACGGGGACUGAGACACGGCCCCGACUCCUACGGGAGGCAGCAGUGGGGAAUUUUCCGCAAUGGGCGAAAGCCUGACGGAGUGACGCCGCGUGUGGGACGAAGGCCUUCGGGUCGUAAACCACUGUCAGUGGGAAAGAAGGGUGUCGGCGCAAAUACCGCCGGCAUUUGACGGUACCUGCAGAGGAAGCCCCGGCCAACUCUGUGCCAGCAGCCGCGGUAAGACAGAGGGGGCAAGCGUUGCUCGGAAUUACUGGGCGUAAAGGGCGCGUAGGCGGGAUGGCAAGUCGGUCGUGAAAUCCUUCGGCUCAACCGAAGAACGUCGAUCGAUACUGCUGUUCUUGAGGAUUGCAGAGGAGACUGGAAUUCCCGGUGUAGCGGUGAAAUGUGUAGAGAUCGGGAGGAACACCGGUGGCGAAGG
RNAcentral lists this ribosomal RNA (488 nucleotides) under uncultured bacterium. RNAcentral's name for it is "SSU rRNA". It matches the Rfam family "Bacterial small subunit ribosomal RNA", at positions 242 to 721 of the family's 1533-position model. The record is from RNAcentral.